This 443-nucleotide ribosomal RNA is filed under the name uncultured bacterium. Its description in RNAcentral is "partial 16S ribosomal RNA". It matches the Rfam family "Bacterial small subunit ribosomal RNA", at positions 338 to 795 of the family's 1533-position model. The record is from RNAcentral.
CCUACGGGAGUCAGCAGUGGGGAAUAUUGGGCAAUGGGCGCAAGCCUGACCCAGCAACGCCGCGUGAAGGAAGACGGCUUUCGGGUUGUAAACUUCUUUUCUCAGGGACGCAGCAAGUGACGGUACCUGCGGAAUAAGCCACGGCUAACUACGUGCCAGCAGCCGCGGUCAUACGUAGGUGGCAAGCGGUAUCCGGAUUUACUGGGUGUAAAGGGCGUGUAGGGGGGAAAGCAAGUCAGAUGUGAAAACCAUGGGGUCAACCUGUGGCCUGCAUUUGAAACUGUUUUUCUUGAGUACUGGAGAGGCAGACGGAAUUCGUGGUGUAGCGGUGAAAUGCGGAGAUAUUAGGAAGAACCCCAGUGGCGAAGGCGGUCUGCUGGAGAGCAACUGACGCUGAAGCGCGAAAGCGUGGGGAGCGAACAGGAUUAGAUACCCGAGUAGUC